AGUGGGAUAGCUGGGUCAAAUGGUGGUUCCAUUCCAAGUUUUCUGAGGAAUCUCCAUAUGGCUUUCCAGAGUGGUUGCACCAAUUUGCAGUCCCACCAGCAAU
RNAcentral lists this microRNA precursor (103 nucleotides) under Marmota monax (woodchuck). Lineage: Eukaryota; Metazoa; Chordata; Mammalia; Rodentia; Sciuridae. The record is from RNAcentral.